CAAUAGCGUAUAUUAAAGUUGUUGCAGUUAAAAAGCUCGUAGUUGAAUUUUUGCUUGCCGCCGAUGUCGGAACUUCCGUACGUUCGGCGGCGUGCAUCCUUGGGUGGAACCUGCGUGGCAUCAGGUUGUCGUGUAGGGGAUGCUCAUCGUUUACUGUGAAAAAAUUAGAGUGUUCAAAGCAGGCUUACGCCGUUGAAUAUAUUAGCAUGGGAUAAUAAGAUAGGACCUUGGUACUAUUUUGUUGGUUUGCGCACCGAGGUAAUGAUUAACAGGGACAGUUGGGGGUAUUCGUAUUCCAUUGUCAGAGGUGAAUUUCUUGGAUUUCUGGAAGACGAACUACUGCGAAAGCAUUUACCAAGGAUGUUUUCAUUAA
Molecule: ribosomal RNA, 373 nt
Filed under: uncultured eukaryote
Lineage: Eukaryota
Description: partial 18S ribosomal RNA
Rfam family: Eukaryotic small subunit ribosomal RNA
Source: RNAcentral